RNAcentral lists this ribosomal RNA (1345 nucleotides) under uncultured bacterium. Its description in RNAcentral is "bacterial SSU rRNA". It matches the Rfam family "Bacterial small subunit ribosomal RNA", at positions 28 to 1381 of the family's 1533-position model. The record is from RNAcentral.
GAUGAGCGCUGGCGGCGUGCUUAACACAUGCAAGUCGAACGAUGAAGCCCAGCUUGCUGGGUGGAUUAGUGGCGAACGGGUGAGUAACACGUGAGUAAUCUGCCCUUAACUCUGGGAUAAGCCUGGGAAACUGGGUCUAAUACCGGAUAGGAGCGUCCACCGCAUGGUGGGUGUUGGAAAGAUUUAUCGGUUUUGGAUGGACUCGCGGCCUAUCAGCUUGUUGGUGAGGUAAUGGCUCACCAAGGCGACGACGGGUAGCCGGCCUGAGAGGGUGACCGGCCACACUGGGACUGAGGCACGGCCCAGACUCCUACGGGAGGCAGCAGUGGGGAAUAUUGCACAAUGGGCGCAAGCCUGAUGCAGCGACGCCGCGUGAGGGAUGACGGCCUUCGGGUUGUAAACCUCUUUCAGUAGGGAAGAAGCGAAAGUGACGGUACCUGCAGAAGAAGCACCGGCUAACUACGUGCCAGCAGCCGCGGUAAUACGUAGGGUGCGAGCGUUAUCCGGAAUUAUUGGGCGUAAAGAGCUCGUAGGCGGUUUGUCGCGUCUGUCGUGAAAGUCCGGGGCUUAAACCCCGGAUCUGCGGUGGGUACGGGCAGACUAGAGUGCAGUAGGGGAGACUGUUUAUUCCUGGUGUAGCGGUGGAAUGCGCAGAUAUCAGGAGGAACGCCGAUGGCGAAGGCAGGUUUCUGGGCUGUAACUGACGCUGAGGAGCGAAAGCAUGGGGAGCGAACAGGAUUAGAUACCCUGGUAGUCCAUGCCGUAAACGUUGGGCACUAGGUGUGGGGACCAUUCCACGGUUUCCGCGCCGCAGCUAACGCAUUAAGUGCCCCGCCUGGGGAGUACGGCCGCAAGGCUAAAACUCAAAGGAAUUGACGGGGGCCCGGAGAAGCGGCGGAGCAUGCGGAUUAAUUCGAUGCAACGCGAAGAACCUUACCAAGGCUUGACAUGUUCUCGAUCGCCGUAGAGAUACGGUUUCCCCUUUGGGGCGGGUUCACAGGUGGUGCAUGGUUGUCGUCAGCUCGUGUCGUGAGAUGUUGGGUUAAGUCCCGCAACGAGCGCAACCCUCGUUCCAUGUUGCCAGCACGUAAUGGUGGGGACUCAUGGGAGACUGCCGGGGUCAACUCGGAGGAAGGUGAGGACGACGUCAAAUCAUCAUGCCCCUUAUGUCUUGGGCUUCACGCAUGCUACAAUGGCCGGUACAAUGGGUUGCGAUACUGUGAGGUGGAGCUAAUCCCAAAAAGCCGGUCUCAGUUCGGAUUGGGGUCUGCAACUCGACCCCAUGAAGUCGGAGUCGCUAGUAAUCGCAGAUCAGCAACGCUGCGGUGAAUACGUUCCCGGGCCU